RNAcentral lists this ribosomal RNA (461 nucleotides) under uncultured bacterium. Its description in RNAcentral is "partial 16S ribosomal RNA". It matches the Rfam family "Bacterial small subunit ribosomal RNA", at positions 29 to 507 of the family's 1533-position model. The record is from RNAcentral.
ACGCACGCUGGCGGCGUGCUUAACACCUGCAAGUCGAACGGAAAGGCCCUUCGGGGUACUCGAGUGGCGAACGGGUGAGUAACACGUGGGUGAUCUGCCCUGCACUUUGGGAUAAGCCUGGGAAACUGGGUCUAAUACCGAAUAGGACCACGCGCUUCAUGGUGUGUGGUGGAAAGCUUUUGCGGUGUGGGAUGGGCCCGCGGCCUAUCAGCUUGUUGGUGGGGUAAUGGCCUACCAAGGCGACGACGGGUAGCCGGCCUGAGAGGGUGACCGGCCACACUGGGACUGAGAUACGGCCCAGACUCCUACGGGAGGCAGCAGUGGGGAAUAUUGCACAAUGGGCGCAAGCCUGAUGCAGCGACGCCGCGUGAGGGAUGACGGCCUUCGGGUUGUAAACCUCUUUCACCAGGGACGAAGCGUAAGUGACGGUACCUGGAGAAGAAGCACCGGCCAACUACGUG